UCGGACACAGCUGGGUAUAAUGGGGAAGCACACGUGGAUAAUCAGGGGGGCAUGGCACACAUGAGGAUCGUACGAGCUGGGCGUGACAGUUCGACAUACUGAUCGCUAUGUAUCGCGAUACAACAGUUUGAAAUGUUACCAAAGUGUCAUUUUAUAAUUCCCAUAUUAAACAAGUUACCGUGCAUAGUGCUUUGGGGAGAGACAGACUCCAAGAGUGCAGUUCAUUUCACGUGUCUUUAAGUCAUUGUCUGAUAUUAUCCAGAGCUGAAUGUGUGAUUCAUGCUUACUACUAUAUUCUUGCUUUGCAGUUCUUACACAAUUUUUUUCUUAUUUACUUCUAAAAGUAAAUAAAAAACUUAUAAAACUGUCAUUAUUAUAUAAGAACUAUACGUAUUAUGAUGUUAUUAUUUAGUUAUGUUGUUGCUUGGUUACAUUUGAUGCCUCCGCACGUGGGAAGCUACCGGUUUGAAAGACGCGGUUUCACUUGCUUUUCUGCACCAAGAUGGCAAGAAUCAGACGAAUGGAGAAAGCUGUUUGCUGGAGCGACGACAGAUACUGGGCAACUUGGGACAAGUGGGGAGAGGUGAUUGACUGGGGAGAUGAGAAAGAGCUGUGCUCCCCAGCAGAAUCACCUUCUGACCAGGCUGACAGUUCCACUGAGUCACAUUCCCGAAGGCGAAUUGCCAAGGCAGUUAGCUGGACGGAUGAUGCUUAUUGGGCAGCCUGGGACAAGUGGGAAGAGAUCAUCUGCUGGGGUGAUGAAGAGGAGUGCUCCCAAGUAACUCCACCCACUAGCCAGCUUGGGAGGGAUAAGGUGAUAGAUGUACAUGGGUUGGAGGCUUUUGUGAUAAAUAACAGGACAAUCUCCAUAAAGCCUGUAGACAACCAUCAAGACAGUCUGAAGAUAGGAGCUGUGCUGGUAGACCUCUGCCAGUUUGAUCUCGAAUAUUUAGAUCAAAGUAAAUUUAAUUUUGAAAUUGUGCAAGUACAAAUUGGAGAAGUUGAAGUGGAGGAGAUUAGAGAAAAUUCUUUUGAAAAAGCAUUUGAAUUGGAAAUUGUGGAUGUGGCAGUAGAAGUUGUAAACAGUGAAUUCCAACUGAAUGCAAUAAAUUUGGAUAUUGUUGAGACUAAGGUGGACAAAUUAUUAUUGGAAGAACUGAUCGUUGGCGAUUUAGAAGCAGGCAAUGUGAAGGUGUCAGUAUCAAAUGGCAAUGUGGUGAAGGUACCCUUAAGGUACCCUUCACCACAGAGGAACAGAAGGACCAGGCAACCUUAGACCAUACUCUCUGGUGGUUGACUCGUGGCAACUGGACUUGUCUCUGAAAGUUAGAAACGUUUCGCUGCUCAUCCAAGCAGCUUCUUCAGACUGAGGGAGGUAGUAAGUGUCCACAUAUUUAUCCUCCUGGGUAAGUAGUAUAAGGGGGCUCGUUGAGUGAAACAAAGUGGGGGGGGGGGGGAGUUGCGGGUAGAUGUAACCAGUCCCUCCUACUCCAAUAGAGUGGGUCGUUAAGGGUGGUCCACCUGGUGGAGGUGUGAAUUGGGUCUGUUUUUUUCCUGGGAAUUAUUUUUGUUUUGGCAAAUGAUGAGAGGGCCGCAGGUUAAAUUGGAGACAGGUUGUGCCUAAUGCCUCUACCUCUGUUGAGUGAGGGGUUGUGCAUUUGCACAUGCAAAGCUGCUUGGACGAGCGGUGAAACGUUUCUACCUUUCAGAGAGGUACAAUGUCUUUGGAUGUCUUUUGUCUUAUGCAGUCUGGGAGUUGACUGAAUGCUGGGGCGGGGGUAGCUUUUCCUUUGUAGUGGGGUCCGGUGGGGCGCCUUGGGCUCUGUGGGGCCCGGUGGUGCUGCUGCCUUGGGCCCCGGUCUGGAUGGGCCUGGGCCCCCCUCCCUGGAUGGAUUUCGGGGAACGGGGAGUGCCUAUGGGGGUCAGCGGGGGAGCUGGCUCCGGGGGGGGGAGGUAUUUUGCCCCCCCCCAUUCCUUUCCUCCCCAUCCCUAAAUGCUUCCCUCCUCCCGCUCCAUCACACCACCACACAUGUAGGGCUUUGAGGUGUAGGUGCGUUGCUGGGAUGCAGGGUAGGUAUUCCUCCUCUGUCCCCUCGCAACCACCUGUACCUCAUUCAUACACUACAACGUAGACACUCUCAUUACUUACUCUCUCAUGACACAUACAUUUAGGGCAUUGGGGAUGGGCACACAGAAUGGCAUCCAGAGGGCGGUCUGUUCAUUCAGCCUUACCUCUGGUGCCAGGGCCCACAUCUCAAUUUUAAUCACACACAGACAUUGAGGGCUCUGGGGAGAGGCGGAGCUAA
RNA transcript from Brienomyrus brachyistius, 2306 nucleotides. RefSeq lists it as uncharacterized. The transcript is spliced from 3 exons. Lineage: Eukaryota; Metazoa; Chordata; Actinopteri; Osteoglossiformes; Mormyridae. The record is from RefSeq and is a predicted model, not a curated record.